Triplophysa rosa is the source of this 2797-nucleotide long non-coding RNA. RefSeq lists it as uncharacterized. The record is from RefSeq and is a predicted model, not a curated record. NCBI's taxonomy places the organism in Eukaryota, Metazoa, Chordata, Actinopteri, Cypriniformes, Nemacheilidae. The transcript is spliced from 5 exons.
UGCCUCAUAUGCUCACGACACUUGGUGUUUGGAAAUAACACCUCAUCUAUGAUGUGGCAACUUCGUGCUAAGCAUGGGGAUGCAGUUACUCUGCUGCUGAGCACCUCUGUUGAAACCCACCCUCCUGAACCUUCUGUUUCCGGGAAGCAACAGCUGGAUGAGGCCUUGCUGAACCUUAUUAUUAUGGAUGCAUAGCCACUGUCUGUGGUGGAAAAUGAAGGCUUUAAUGCCUUUCUCCACCUCCUGGAUCCCAUGUAGACAAUACCAGGAAGGAAGUCACGUCCUUCUCUCCAUUGAGCACACACACCCGUCAUACACAGCCAGAAGGCCGAGAAGCGAUGAGAAGAUGAAGGCAUGUGGCAUUAAACUGGACAAGAGGUGAUACAUGUUUUCAGGUAAAAUCAAUUACACCUUUGUGUUUCACAUUGAAAUAAAAUUUACCAUGAAAUCAAACCUUUUUUACUGGACAAAACUGUUUGUCAUAGACCCAUGAAUGAGAUGUCAAAUCCACGACUUAUUAAGGAGAGGUGUGCUAUGAAUUUCCGUUAACAGUUAUAACCCUUGUAUAGGGACCAAUUCUCACUAUUAACUAGUUGCUUAUUAGCAUGCAUAUUUUUAGAAUAUUGACUGUUUAUUAGAAAUUAUAAAGAACAUAUUCUGCAUGACCAUAUUCUACAUCCCUAAUCCUACCCAAUACCUAAACCUAACAACUAUUAUAUUAACUAUUAACCAAAUUAGGAGUUUAUUGAGACAAACGUCAUAAUUAAUGAUUUGUUAAUAGCGAGAAUUGGAUCUUAAAAUAAAGUGUGAGCGAAUUUUCCAGUGAUUGGGUGUUAAUCCGACUAGUGAAAAAUCAUGGAAAAAAUCCCAUAGGCUUGACAAUGGCAUUACAUUUUUGCAGGGACAAACUGGCCAUCUGGAGCACCUGGACUUUCCCCCCACCCUAGCAACCGUACAAACAGCCACCCAUGUGUCCGGAACCAACUACUUCCAUACUAUAUAGUGGCCGAAAUUCAGAAUGGGGUUAUAUAGACAUUUGGGCGGGCACUUUUAUUUUGGUUGACAAACCAGUUUGUGGCCACUCCCUAACAACUUACAAGAGUACCCUAGCAACCGUAUAGCAAUAUGAACAAGCCAUAUCCCAAAUCCACAACAUCGUACAGACCUGGUUAUGCUAUAUUGAAAGCUUUCCUGUGGCUCAUGCCAAGGUCAUGGGUUCGAGCCCAGGGGAUUGCACAUAGUCAGAAACAAAUGUAUAGUACAAUGCAAGUCACUUUGGAUAAAAGCAUCUGCCAAAUGCAUAAAUGUAAACCUUGAGCACUUUAGCAACUGCCCAGUGACAAAUUUUGCAUGGCAAGCAGCACACAAAUAUAAACAUAUAAAAAUAUAAAAAACAAAGUAUAAUUUAUGCUUUCUUUUUAAAGGAUACCGGUUUAAACAUGAUGGGAUCAUGGUGCAGUGGUGUAACCUUAUCAAGCGAUGGGACGAUGAAUCCUUAACAGAGCAAGAAAACCUCAAACAAACAUAUAAGAUGGGCUGUAACUGCACGAUCUCUACGUGCUUUGGCAGUCCAUGUUGUUCCCAAUCUAAGAAAGAAUGUACGUGGGAAAAAAAUCAAGCAAACAAUCUUGUUUUGCGCAGUCGUUAUGGAGCACAAUUAUUCUUUACUGUUUGCAGCUGGUUCUGUCAUCAAAGACAUUUUUACUAGACAUGCUAUAAUAGAGAUGCUGAUCUUGCAUGUGUUUUACAAGACAGAUCAUCUGACUAAGUGUAACCGGUCUGUGAGGAGUCACCCCUGGCACAAUCAGCGUCGCCAUGGAGAUGGAGGAAAUCAGAGCAGCACACCUGCCGCCCAUCAGCGCCUCGUGCCAAACGGCUAUAAAAGCCGCUGGCAAUCGCAGGAAGGUGAGCAACGUCUCCAGAGCACAGAGAUCACACUCAAGCUUUGUUCUUGUGGUUUUUUUCCAGACUUGGACGAUUGAGCGAACGACCGGAAGGAACGCCCAUCCCGCCCCGCUACUCGCAGCAACUGGACAGGCCGGCCCAACGACUCAUACCCUCCUCGGCUCUGGAGAGUAACGGAUCCGAUGAUAGGAUUGACCCGGCUCCCCAACCCUGUACUUCUUUCGUCUCCUCCGGGAGGCUAUCAAUAAACUUACCCUCCGGGGUCAUACUCUUUACCUACUGUGUACGUGUCGUUGCUCUGCCUGUCACAGGUCCCACUUGCACCGCUCUGCACGGGCCUCGAUCCGGCGACGGUCCGGAUGGGAGACGGGAGCUCUAACGAGGAGGCUAAAGACCAGGAGGCUAAAGACUCUUCACUAGCUGGCCUCCGUUACAUAAGUACAUUCAUUUUAUGAAUUAUGUCUAAUAAUUAAAUAAAAUCAAGUCAUCAAACGCAAUAAACAUGAUUUCUCAUUCACGUCUGAUUGAUUAUUAGCGGUGGAGUUGAAGACGACAGUUCCGUUCUCCUUCACAACGUCAUCAAGAUACGCCUUUGUAGUUGUUUUGAACAUAUCUGUUUUGAAUGCGGCUCUAGCUCUAGCGGCGGAUUUUACAAAUUGCGCCUUUAAAUGCAUGAAACAGGAUAUUUUUCUAAUUUCUUUAUCUUCGACUUUAUUAAAAAUGCAUACGGUGUAACACGUCUAAAAGAACCAUAUGAAAAAUUCCUCUCAAAACUCCAAAUAGAAAAAAACUUCACCACAAUGUUUAAUAUGCUGUGAAAUUCUAAAUUUUGUGGCUAUGCCACGAACGGCCGUGAGACUGGGUUGUCACCAGUGACAUGCACAAAAUAAAG